This 596-nucleotide ribosomal RNA is filed under the name uncultured beta proteobacterium. Its description in RNAcentral is "bacterial SSU rRNA". It matches the Rfam family "Bacterial small subunit ribosomal RNA", at positions 329 to 915 of the family's 1533-position model. The record is from RNAcentral. Lineage: Bacteria; Pseudomonadati; Pseudomonadota; Betaproteobacteria.
AGAGUCACUCCUACGGGAGGCAGCAGUGGGGAAUUUUGGACAAUGGGGGCAACCCUGAUCCAGCCAUGCCGCGUGUGUGAAGAAGGCCUUCGGGUUGUAAAGCACUUUCGGACGGAACGAAAUCGCGCGGGUGAACAUCCCGCGUGGAUGACGGUACCGUAAGAAGAAGCACCGGCUAACUACGUGCCAGCAGCCGCGGUAAUACGUAGGGUGCGAGCGUUAAUCGGAAUUACUGGGCGUAAAGGGCGUCUAGGCGGUCAGGUAAGUGGGAUGUGAAAUGCCCCGGCUCACCCGGGGACCGGCAUCCCAUACUGCUUGGCUUGAGUACGGGAGAGGUUGUGGGAAUUCCUGGUGUAGCGGUGAAAUGCGUAGAUAUCAGGAGGAACACCGGUGGCGAAGGCGCACAACUGGCCCGAUACUGACGCUGAAGCGCGAAAGCUAGGGGAGCAAACGGGAUUAGAUACCCCGGUAGUCCUGGCCCUAAACGAUGGACACUUGGUGUGUCGGGUCUUACAGUCCCGACGUGCCGGAGCUAACGCGUUAAGUGUCCCGCCUGGGGAGUACGGUCGCAAGGCUGAAACUUAAAGGAAUUGACG